AUUCCAGCUCCAAUAGCGUAUAUUAAAGUUGUUGUGGUUAAAAAGCUCGUAGUUGGAUCUCGGCGGUCUGAGGGCGGUUCGCUUCAGAGCGCUACUGCCCUAUAGACCGUAGUUUUGCCAGAGGUCUCAGGGUGCUCUUAACCGAGUGUCUUGCGAUGCUGGCAGGUUUACUUUGAAAAAAUUAGAGUGCUCAAAGCAGGCUUUUACGCCUGAAUAUUCGUGCAUGGAAUAAUAGAAUAGGAAGUCGUUUCUAUUUUGUUGGUUUCGAACACCGGAGUAAUGAUUAACAGGGACAGUCAGGGGCACUCGUAUUCCGCCGAGAGAGGUGAAAUUCUCAGACCAGCGGAAGACGAACCACUGCGAAAGCAUCUGCCAGGGAUGUUUUCAUCA
Molecule: ribosomal RNA, 390 nt
Filed under: Pseudocalanus sp.
Lineage: Eukaryota; Metazoa; Arthropoda; Copepoda; Calanoida; Clausocalanidae
Description: partial small subunit ribosomal RNA
Rfam family: Eukaryotic small subunit ribosomal RNA
Source: RNAcentral